This 71-nucleotide transfer RNA is filed under the name Loxodonta africana (African savanna elephant). It matches the Rfam family "tRNA". From Rfam's summary of the family: Transfer RNA (tRNA) molecules are approximately 80 nucleotides in length. Their secondary structure includes four short double-helical elements and three loops (D, anti-codon, and T loops). Further hydrogen bonds mediate the characteristic L-shaped molecular structure. tRNAs have two regions of fundamental functional importance: the anti-codon, which is responsible for specific mRNA codon recognition, and the 3' end, to which the tRNAs corresponding amino acid is attached (by aminoacyl-tRNA synthetases). tRNAs cope with the degeneracy of the genetic code in two manners: having more than one tRNA (with a specific anti-codon) for a particular amino acid; and 'wobble' base-pairing, i.e. permitting non-standard base-pairing at the 3rd anti-codon position. The record is from Rfam by way of RNAcentral. Lineage: Eukaryota; Metazoa; Chordata; Mammalia; Proboscidea; Elephantidae.
UCUAUGGUAGUUCUGUGGUAGAAUUCUCACCUUCCAUGUGGGAGACCUGGGUUCGAUUCCCCACCAAUGCA